RNAcentral lists this ribosomal RNA (494 nucleotides) under uncultured bacterium. RNAcentral describes it as "partial 16S ribosomal RNA". It matches the Rfam family "Bacterial small subunit ribosomal RNA", at positions 28 to 507 of the family's 1533-position model. The record is from RNAcentral.
GACGAACGCUGGCGGCGUGCUUAACACAUGCAAGUCGAACGGUGAAGCGCCUUCCUUUUUGGUGGGUGUGGAUGAGUGGCGAACGGGUGAGUAACACGUGAGUAACCUGCCCCCUUCUUCUGGAUAACCGCAUGAAAGUGUGGCUAAUACGGGAUAUUCUGGGUCUGUCGCAUGAUGGGUCUGGGAAAGAUAUUGUUUCGGUGGGGGAUGGGCUCGCGGCCUAUCAGCUUGUUGGUGGGGUGAUGGCCUACCAAGGCGGUGACGGGUAGCCGGCCUGAGAGGGUGGACGGGCACACUGGGACGGAGACACGGCCCAGACUCCUACGGGAGGCAGCAGUGGGGAAUAUUGCACAAUGGGCGCAAGCCUGAUGCAGCGACGCCGCGUGAGGGAUGGAGGCCUUCGGGUUGUGAACCUCUUUCGCCAGUGAAGCAGGCCUGCCUCGUUUGUGGGUGGGUUGACGGUAGCUGGAGAAGAAGCGCCGGCUAACUACGUG